AUGCGUUGGUAAAAUGUGAAACCAACUCCGGUUAUCAACGAUGUUCGAUGUUUACAUCCUAAUAUUACGAGGAGUUGAACACUACUGGAUAAAGUUAAAUUCCAAACUGAAAAGUACCUCGAUUAUCUAUUUGAUGAUAAAAUAAAAAUAAUAAGGACCUCAUUUCAGCCGCCGACAUCAAAUACGAUCUCGCCUACAUAUGUUUUUUAAAUGCCUUAGCGUCCAUUUACAGAAAGCUAGGUGUACUACUCUUUAAUACCUCGUUCCUAGGAUACCGAGACCAUAUCGAAUGUUUCGCAUCGAUCUGAAAUGUCUUAAAAUUCAUCUUUCACAUACUGUGGAAAUGGAAACUCCGGUCACAGCUUAAAUUUGCCACCCUGUGACAUCGAGGUGUUCAAUAGCGACCUUUCCUGUCCUAAGUUCAGGGACUUAUUGAGCGGUAAUGGCAUUGAAAUAACAAAAUCUGUGGUGAUGACCAUGACAUUGUUUCGAAGUUUACGCUUACACACAAAAACUUGCCUAUACGGCCGUUGGUACUUCAUUUUCAAAGUGGCAUUUCGUAAUGUUCGUCUGGCAUGCUUUAAAUUCCAAAUCUCAAUGCAGAUGCUACGCAUCUACAAUUACUUCUAUUGUUAUUUCUAUAGUUCUCACAGUGAUAACCUAAUGUGAGCUUCUCACUUUUUAAUAUUGAAAACGGCACUUUCAUCCGACAGCUAUUUGACUUCCUUUGCAACGGAGUUAAUUAUAGUCGAUGUUUAGUGUAGUCUACCUCUCCUCUCUACUUUUUUGAUAAAAAUUUGGAAAAUACUUAGUUUCAUGGCCGCGUUAGAGUCGCGAACAUAUAUAGUUCAAAACGAGCUACGGUUUUGUGGUCAUUCUGACUUUUUCAUACGAGUUGAAAAUUUUUAAAUGAUGAUUGCGACAAUGGAUACGGAACAAUGAUUGGAUGGCUUCGCUGAUCCUCAAAUGAAGUUUGUGGUAUUCAAAACGGAUGAAGUAGAACCUCUUUCGGAGAAAAUUCAACAAAAAUCCGCCUUAGAAGGUCCAUGGAGUUCAUACAAGAGAUAUCAGUGUACUCGACGAGUUUAGCAAUCAGAAGAUCAAGACCUCAUCGAGGCAUUGCACGAUCUUGCUCUACGAGCAGAUACUUUCUGUUCUUUGAUACGAUCGGUUCCUUUUCGAUACAUUGCACGAUCGUGCUCUAUGAACUCGCAUAAAAAAAUUUAGAAAAAAAAUUGUUGUUCCAUUAGUUUUAUAAUACGAUCAGUUCCUUCUCGAGGCAUAGCACGGUGGUGCUAUAAAUAACUAAAUAACUAACUUUAACGUAAAAUUUGCAACACGGCGUAAUAUUGCAAAGACUAGCGGAAUGUUUAACUUCAAUCUUAAUAUUCAUUAAAUUGAGAUAAUAAUAGAUUAUUAAACUUAAAAACUUUAACGGCAUUCUCCAUUCGAUGUCAACGUUUUAAAUGAGUUACUUUUAUUUUAAAAUGGUGAACGAUAUUAAAAGGUAUUUUAGGUUUGGGUGACACCGAUUUUUUUUCGAUAAAAAGCAGUGAUAUAAUUUCUUCGCCUAUAUUUUCAUUAGUCUAUGUUUCUUGAUUAUUAUUUCGACCUUCGCGUAGGCUAAUGAAUAUAUAGACGAAUCUGUAGGUUUCGCCUAUGUCGUUUCAUGGGUUUGGGUGAAAAUAUAAAAGUGACUUAAUCUUAAAUGUUAAAAAUAUCAUAAACUGUGGAAUUUUUGUCGGUGGAAAAUUGUUCCGUAAUAAAAAAAAUGUGAAAAGUGAGUGAUGACAUCGAACAAUUCGGGUAAUCAAGUGAAAUUCUUGAAAAACGAUGAAAUAUGUUUUUGAAGUCGAGUGGGUUGAACGCCUAAAUCAGCAUGUUGACUAUGCAAAACAUGAUGAGAGUCACCUGGAUAAAAGGACAAAACUAACGUUUCGCUGUCUAUAUUUUCAUUUGACUAUGUACGACAUCUCUAUGAGCGAGAAUACUGAAGCAAAGACAAAUGAAAAUAUUAUAUAUUUAUUUUCAUUUGUCUAUGCCGUAGCUGCCCUAGAAGCAAAAUUUAUUUCAACACUUACUCAAGUAUAGUACCAUUUAGUACUUUUUGUACACUUUAUAGUACGUUUUUCCAGAUUCGCCCCGUAACUAAACGUUUCGCGUCACUAUGAUUCUAAUAUCAUUAUUUUUCGCAAUUUUGUUCUUUUCCUUUCUAUCUUUUUAUUUUAGAGAUUUCCAGAACGUCCUCUUCAACAUUCCAAUCUUUUGAGUAUUAUUAUUUUUGUACAUAUUUUAUAUAAAUACAAGAAUUAGUUUGUUUUAGAGAUUCUAAAUGGGAACAAACAUAUUCAUUAUUUUAACAUUAAUUUAACUUUAAAUAAGAAAUUAUUAUAUAAAGAAGUAACAAAUAUUCGUUUAUUCAAGAAGUAUUCCAACAUUUUGUAAAAGAAACUGUUUUACACGUUUUUAAAUAUCGAAAAAGACAUUACACAUUUUAAAUUAUUUGGUAAUUGAUUAAAUUCUUUUUAUCUAGUAUGUCUAAGUCGCUAUUUUGAUAAAUCCAUACGACAUCUAGCAAUCUCUAUAUCUGAUGUAUUCCUAGUGUCCCUGCCAGUCAUUAUUCCGUUUUGUUAUUCUUGCAUUCCGUUUUCUUGUUGCUGUUUAACCACCUGUUCAUACACAAGUACUUCGUUGAUCCCACCUAUUCACUGGCUUGAACCUGAUAACUUUGCUUCUAUUGAUGCUGUAUGGUUCCUGGAUUGACUAAUUUGUUUGCAUCGCGAACUCAAUUGUUUUAUUUCUAUUUCAUACGCCGGCGAACGGUACAAGGUGGCCAUACUUGUGCGAAUCUUAUGUGUUUUAGUAAAUAAAGUUACUUUUUACUUUAAUAUUUGUUAUGGUCACUCUACUAUCUGUUACUCGUAUAAAAAAACAUAAUAAAUUUAUUUAUUUGUGUACUUGCGCCUGAGUGAAGAUGGAUAUCAGUGAUUUCCUCAUCAAUUGGCUUUCUGUUUGAAAAUCUUUGCAAUCGUGGUUAAGCAAAUCUUGUAGCUUUAAAGAAGCGCUCUUCAUCUCUUAAUUUUAGCUCCGUAAAAGCCAUUCUCUGGAAUCCUUCGGUGUUUCUUUUAAUGUUCACUGGCCGUACCCACCAUCUUCUCCGUAAACGUUUUCGCACAAGCAGAUAAGCUUUUACUAUAAUAUAUAUAAUGUUAAUUAUUUCAACAAAUUUAAAAAACUUUACAAUUCUCUGAUUCAUUGUAGUCAACAAAUGAGCAAAAAGUAAACAACUUCAUCAGCUGUUUUAUAAUUUCGUCGGUAUUGUGUUUCAUACGCCGAAUUUACGCGGCUCAUUUUGCCGCGUAGGGCGACAUUCAUCGUUCGCUCCAAUUGUGCAUUACGCUGUUUCCAACGCAAUUAAAUGUUACCUGUUUUCAAAUUAUAUAUUGUUCCAUUACAUUUAAACAAAAAUUCUAAAAUAAAAUCUGAAGAAAUAAUGAUACGACGCUGGUUCUGUCACGAAAAUUGCCACACUAAAUUUAAUGACAAUCUGGGGCUUGUUGCUGCUGCAAUUUCAAACAACAAUUACAUUCAGUGGUUCGGAUUGCUGAAAAAUAGGAUACGAAAAAAUCUGCGGGCACUUAUUGAAUAUACGGGGGAGAAUUCUGAGUUCGCCGCAGGAGUGCCAAUUUUUGGAAGCAGCUGGCAAUCCUUUAAAGACCACUGGACAAAAAUUAUUUUUUAAAUAAAAUACCAAUGGCAUAGACAAAUUAAGAUAUAGACAACGAAAAUAGUGACACAUACCAGGCGGUUCAGUGAAGAAAGUUUUCACUAUUUAUCGCCACAAACACAUGCUCAACAACAAUAAAUAAACCUACAUAACAUCUCAACAACACCAACAACCAGCCAAAAGAACUCACCACAUCUCUACACACAAACUGCAAAACAACAGACACUGUCAGCACAAACACAACAAACACAGACCUUACAACGACACCAAUGUAAGCAACCAACGUACCAACCAACCAACGUCAACACAUGGUACAUCAAACCGUGCAAAACUCACCUCCAUUCAAAUGCACAUCACAACAGGAUUUUCCAUCCACAUCAUCAGCAAGGUCAAGGAACAAGCAGAUGCAAGCAAAAGGAUGGCUGCCGCUUCAGAGAGGAUGGCAGAUUUACCGAGGCCCAAAAAAAAAUUCUAAAAUCAAUAUAAUAAAUACUAUGAAUUUUUGUGCAAAAUAAUUCACAACAAUUU
Long non-coding RNA from Musca domestica (house fly), 4255 nucleotides. RefSeq lists it as uncharacterized. The transcript is spliced from 3 exons. The record is from RefSeq and is a predicted model, not a curated record. NCBI's taxonomy places the organism in Eukaryota, Metazoa, Arthropoda, Insecta, Diptera, Muscidae.